Molecule: transfer RNA, 71 nt
Filed under: Camelus ferus (Wild Bactrian camel)
Lineage: Eukaryota; Metazoa; Chordata; Mammalia; Artiodactyla; Camelidae
Rfam family: tRNA
About the family: Transfer RNA (tRNA) molecules are approximately 80 nucleotides in length. Their secondary structure includes four short double-helical elements and three loops (D, anti-codon, and T loops). Further hydrogen bonds mediate the characteristic L-shaped molecular structure. tRNAs have two regions of fundamental functional importance: the anti-codon, which is responsible for specific mRNA codon recognition, and the 3' end, to which the tRNAs corresponding amino acid is attached (by aminoacyl-tRNA synthetases). tRNAs cope with the degeneracy of the genetic code in two manners: having more than one tRNA (with a specific anti-codon) for a particular amino acid; and 'wobble' base-pairing, i.e. permitting non-standard base-pairing at the 3rd anti-codon position.
Source: Rfam by way of RNAcentral
GCAGAUAUAGUUCAGUGGUAGAGCACAUGCUUAGCAAGCACAAGAUCCUGGGUUCAAUCCCCAGUACCUCA